UUCCGUAGGUGAACCUGCGGAAGGAUCAUUACCGAGUGCGGGUCCUUUGGGCCCAACCUCCCAUCCGUGUCUAUUGUACCCUGUUGCUUCGGCGGGCCCGCCGCUUGUCGGCCGCCGGGGGGGCGCCUCUGCCCCCCGGGCCCGUGCCCGCCGGAGACCCCAACACGAACACUGUCUGAAAGCGUGCAGUCUGAGUUGAUUGAAUGCAAUCAGUUAAAACUUUCAACAAUGGAUCUCUUGGUUCCGGCAUCGAUGAAGAACGCAGCGAAAUGCGAUAACUAAUGUGAAUUGCAGAAUUCAGUGAAUCAUCGAGUCUUUGAACGCACAUUGCGCCCCCUGGUAUUCCGGGGGGCAUGCCUGUCCGAGCGUCAUUGCUGCCCUCAAGCCCGGCUUGUGUGUUGGGUCGCCGUCCCCCUCUCCGGGGGGACGGGCCCGAAAGGCAGCGGCGGCACCGCGUCCGAUCCUCGAGCGUAUGGGGCUUUGUCACAUGCUCUGUAGGAUUGGCCGGCGCCUGCCGACGUUUUCCAACCAUUCUUUCCAGGUUGACCUCGGAUCAGGUAGGGAUACCCGCUGAACUUAAGCAUAUCAAUAAGCGGA
This 597-nucleotide ribosomal RNA is filed under the name Aspergillus niger. Its description in RNAcentral is "eukaryotic LSU rRNA". The stretch from base 218 to 371 matches the Rfam family "5.8S ribosomal RNA". The record is from RNAcentral. Lineage: Eukaryota; Fungi; Ascomycota; Eurotiomycetes; Eurotiales; Aspergillaceae.